UGGGGUAUAGCCAAGCGGUAAGGCAACGGAUUUUGAUUCCGUCAUGCCUAGGUUCGAAUCCUAGUACCCCAGCCA
Molecule: transfer RNA, 75 nt
Filed under: Lysinibacillus sphaericus
Lineage: Bacteria; Bacillati; Bacillota; Bacilli; Caryophanales; Bacillaceae
Also listed under: 165 other names
Description: tRNA-Gln(ttg)
Rfam family: tRNA
About the family: Transfer RNA (tRNA) molecules are approximately 80 nucleotides in length. Their secondary structure includes four short double-helical elements and three loops (D, anti-codon, and T loops).
Source: RNAcentral